AGUGAACGCUGGCGGUAGGCCUAACACAUGCAAGUCGAACGGCAGCACAGUAAGAGCUUGCUCUUACGGGUGGCGAGUGGCGGACGGGUGAGGAAUACAUCGGAAUCUACUUUUUCGUGGGGGAUAACGUAGGGAAACUUACGCUAAUACCGCAUACGACCUACGGGUGAAAGCAGGGGAUCUUCGGACCUUGCGCGAUUGAUUGAGCCGAUGUCGGAUUAGCUAGUUGGCGGGGUAAAGGCCCACCAAGGCGACGAUCCGUAGCUGGUCUGAGAGGAUGAUCGGCCACACUGGAACUGAGACACGGUCCAGACUCCUACGGGAGGCAGCAGUGGGGAAUAUUGGACAAUGGGCGCAAGCCUGAUCCAGCCAUACCGCGUGGGUGAAGAAGGCCUUCGGAUUGUAAAGCCCUUUUGUUGGGAAAGAAAAGCAGCAGAUUAAUACCCCGCUGUUCUGACGGUACCCAAAGAAUAAGCACCGGCUAACUUCGUG
RNAcentral lists this ribosomal RNA (492 nucleotides) under uncultured bacterium. RNAcentral's name for it is "partial 16S ribosomal RNA". It matches the Rfam family "Bacterial small subunit ribosomal RNA", at positions 29 to 507 of the family's 1533-position model. The record is from RNAcentral.